GAUAUACCUCGACUUUCUGGGUCCAUAUCCUAGAACCCGAAGGGGGAACGCAGUCAUCUUGAUAGUCCUUGAUCACAUGUCUCGGUUUGUUUGGCUGAAGGCCUUACCCAAAGCCACAUCGGCGGCCGUAAUUCAAUUCCUGCAUGAAGAGGUCUUCGCACAGUUUGGCGUUCCUGAAAUGGUACACACAGACAACGGAAAGCAGUUUGUAUCAGCCGAGUUUACACACUUCUUUACCAAAAGAAGUAUAACUCACAUGAAAUCUGGGAACUAUGCACCACAGGCGAACGCGGCGGAACGCGUGAAGAAGUUGCCGGAGAUCCAGAGUGCGGCCAGGAGUGCGAUACAUACAGCUAUCGGCACGUCACCAUACUUCGUGCUGUUCGGGCAGCACAUGUUCACCAGCGGGCGGGACUACAAAUUAGCACGGAGACUGGGAGCCCUGAUCGACGCGCAAGUAUCACCUGUGGCCAGGCAAGACCAGCAGGAGAUCAUCCGCGAUGAGGUCCGGAAGAAUGCGCAUUAGGCCUACAAGAGAUCAAAAAAUCAGUAUGAUCGAAAAGCGAGAGAUAUCCGGUACUUACCAGGGCAGGAAGUGUAUAAGCGGAACUUCGUAUUAAGCAAUUUCAAAAACAACAUCAAUGCCAAGUUUACUCGGAAGUAUGGAAAGUGCAGAGUGGUCCGGAGCUUGGGAAACAGCUUAUAUGAACUGGAAACGCUGCAGGGGGCACGGAUAG
RNAcentral lists this long non-coding RNA (737 nucleotides) under Drosophila guanche. The record is from RNAcentral. Lineage: Eukaryota; Metazoa; Arthropoda; Insecta; Diptera; Drosophilidae.